This is a long non-coding RNA of Oreochromis aureus, 1851 nucleotides long. RefSeq lists it as uncharacterized. The record is from RefSeq and is a predicted model, not a curated record. NCBI's taxonomy places the organism in Eukaryota, Metazoa, Chordata, Actinopteri, Cichliformes, Cichlidae. The transcript is spliced from 4 exons.
UAUAAUAUACUGAGUGUGAACAUUCUCAAAACUGUAUUGUAUAUAGUUUAUUUUUUUUAUUGUGUAAAUUUAAUUUUUGUAAAACUAAGGUUCCACAUGUCACUGUUGAAGUGAGGCAUUGAUCAGUGUGACACCACUUGUAAACAUGCUGCAUGUGUGGGGGUUCCCAGCCAGUGCUGCAUGGACUCCACACUGGUGAGGCACACUCUCUGUAGCUCCUCUCCCUGUAUUAAAUUAUACGCUUAAAUUUGGUGUAUUUUUCUUUAAUAAGUAUUAGUUCUUUUGGCUUAAAGCUCCCAAAGUGUUUUUGAUUACUUUGAACGAGGAAAAUAGUAAUUGGAACUGCCUUUUAUCUGUUACACCAUCCGUUUAUGUGUUCCUUACUUGUGCUAAACAGGGAUGAGUAGAGGCGUGCUGUUGCUGUGUGACACUGAUUUUGCUGCUCCACUUUGUGUUUUAGGUAUGUGUAAAUGUAUAGUUUUUGUUUUCUGUGUAUAAUGAGUUCAUGAUCUGAGGCUGCACACUGAAUAGCAUUUUCAGCCAUGUUGGUAAAAGUUAAAGUUGUUUGAAUAUGUAUUGUGUAUUUGAUCCAUCUUAGUGGGAAUUUGAAUAUUAUAAGUUAUUAUUAGUGGCUUAUUUUUGACUGCACCUUGCUUCAUCUUUGUCUCUGUUUUACCCCACUAUAACGUUUGAUUUAAAUGUGGCUGUUGAGAAAAACCACACCGUUGUUUUGAUAGAUUGUAUUUUCUUUUAUAUAUUGUAGCCAGUGCUGCAUGGACUCCACACUGGGAUGAGUAGAGGCGUGCUGUUGCUGUGUGACACUGAUUUUGCUGCUCCACUUUGUGUUUUAGAAAUAAAUCCAGUUUCCAGCCAGUCUGUGUCUGUCGUCACAACGCAGUCAACCGUUCGAAAUCUGCUACAUAAAAGUGGUGCCGUGACCCGGAUCCAUCUGAUCAGCCGCUGCCGAUCGCUGAGGUUGAGCUGGACACUUCUGACACCUGCGAUAUCAGCCAAAUUAUCUUGUGGAUCCUUUUAAAAAAAAUCCUCAGUGUUUUGUUAAUAGACAUUUCUCCCAGAUAUAUGUGUUAGGGUUUAACUGGGCUACAUUUACAUGUGUUGUAUUUUCCUGGGUGAUAAGCACUUUCGUAUUUUUCCUGUUUCCAAUUGUUUUUGUAGUUAUUGUUAAUUUCCUGUGAGUAACAUGACUGGUAGGGGCCAAGGCUCCUUUAACCUUUUCACACCAGUUGCUGGGAGAGGUUGGAGACUGUCUGGGGCAGAUGAAGUUAGGGACAGGUCCAUAAUGUCUCAUGAUGAGCCAUCAGAAUCAGAUGACAUUAUUCAAAAUAAUGCUCAUGCACUGUAAAAUGUAAUAUUGUGUUUAAUUAAAAAUAUUAAAUAGGCUGAACUCAAUUUUUAUCAAUUUGUUAUUAGAACUCAAUUUAAAUAAGUUACCAGUACUUUUUAUGCAAAAAUGCUGAUAAACUCGAUUAAUUUGAGUUGUCCUAACUUAGAAAAACUAAGUAAGCUGGAAGUUUUGCUUCUCAGGGCGGAAGGAUGAAAGAUGUGUUUUGAAAAUGCCACGUGACUACCGUCCUCCUCCCUCCCGGAUCAGUCCGCAUGUUCAUGGCGCCAGCAUUUGUUAUGGAAUAUAUUGAGCAAACCUGGAGAUAUUAUUGUUGUCAUUGCUGUGGAUCUUUACUGACUUGGCUCGGGACCAGCACUCCUGUUGUUGGACAGAAAGACAUCAACUCAGUGACUUGAGAUGUGACUGCACGAUGCUGUUGCUUCGACUCCAGUUAAUUCUACAAGACAUGCUGUGACACCAGGAGAGAUGAGUCCUCCGUCACAGAU